Molecule: long non-coding RNA, 358 nt
Organism: Carcharodon carcharias (great white shark)
Lineage: Eukaryota; Metazoa; Chordata; Chondrichthyes; Lamniformes; Lamnidae
Exons: 3
Source: RefSeq, a predicted model, not a curated record
GAAUGUUUCAUAGACAGAUAGAUCAUGGAGAGACAAAGCAUAAUAUAAGGUAUUGCAAGAUUAAGAUAGGCAGAGAGAUGGGGCUAACAGUUCAGGGGAGAGGCAGAUGGGCAAAAGAAACUGGAGAGAUUAGGGCAACAACAAAAAAAUGAAACAGAUGGGUAUCAGAGCGGGGAGAAGACUGAGCCACAAUCAAGUAUCCUACCCAGGGGCAUGCAAAGAGACAGAUGACUACGCUGGAGUGAGAUGGAGACUGAUUUUGACGUGCAGAAAAGUUGGGAGUCCAGAUGAUCCAGAAGAGGCCGACCUUCCAGGCUUUGAGGUCGCUUUAAUAUCAGCCAUUGAAGGAGGAUGACAG